AUCCCAGCGAGUAUAACUCCCUCGCUUAUGCUUCUGCUGGAAAUUGUUGCGGAGUGUAUUUUGAGGGAAUUCAGAAAGAAGGAGCUGGAGUGAAACUGGAUAGUUCGAAGAAGCAUCGGGGAGGGAGAGAGAGGCUGUGUGUCUGUGCGAGUGCGCACCUUUGGAUAGGCUGUAACAGAAGAACUCAGGCAGACACAGGAGCAGGGACCGUGAGAGGACAGGAGAGACGACACAAAGGGGUUUGGACAGACUUAACGCCAGAAACAAUAUACAGCAAAUACCGCCAAUGUGCAAAAGAGAUGAGCGGCGACUUUUAUUCACAUCUUUCAGACGUGGAUCGGCUGUCCAGGUCUGAAGGUGACUCGUUGGCUGGGCCAGAGGCUGCAACACAGGACAUGGGUCCUGCCUCUUCCUACCACUCGUGUCUUGUGUUGCAGCCAGUGGAGCUGCCUGCAACACAAGACCACUCUGUCUGCCCUUCUGAUGAUGGAUUGAGUCUCUGGAACAUAGGAAUCCUAUCAAGUCACAGACUUUCUGACCAGAAUCCUCACUUUACAGCUGCCCCUGUGUCAAAUGACAUUAUAUAUAUAUUUUUAUUAAUCAAAAUCUGGCCUUCUCUAAAGAGGUAAUAAAAGUAUCAUAUGUUGGAUUUUUGUUCAUAAGAGUGCCCUAAAAGUACAUUUGUUUUCAUUUAUGAGGGAUCUUCUAGUUUUUGGCAAUUUAAAUCAAACAUGCAACUAUUGGCAAUACUGAUAAAGAAAUGAAAUGAGUCGACAUGUAGAACAUUUUGUAACAAAAUUAAUGUUUCAAUGAAAAAUGUUUCCAACUUUUCAUUAUGUUAAUUUGAUUCAUUUGAAAUAUGCCUGAACAUAUUUAUUGCUGCUGUCCCUUUUUGUACUAGGCAUAAAGAUAUAAGAUUAUUAAAACAAAACAAAAAAAAAUCUUGUAAUCAUUUUGAAAAAUCUAAUUGUAUCCUGCUGUCUUGAUGCUUUGGACUCUGUAGUUUGGUUCUUAAAUUCAUUAAUUUCUUUACUUUUUCGUUAUUCAAUAAAAGCAUAUUUUCACCAUGA
This is a long non-coding RNA of Xiphophorus couchianus (Monterrey platyfish), 1070 nucleotides long. RefSeq lists it as uncharacterized. NCBI's taxonomy places the organism in Eukaryota, Metazoa, Chordata, Actinopteri, Cyprinodontiformes, Poeciliidae. The transcript is spliced from 2 exons. The record is from RefSeq and is a predicted model, not a curated record.